RNAcentral lists this ribosomal RNA (468 nucleotides) under uncultured bacterium. RNAcentral describes it as "partial 16S ribosomal RNA". It matches the Rfam family "Bacterial small subunit ribosomal RNA", at positions 28 to 507 of the family's 1533-position model. The record is from RNAcentral.
GACGAACGCUGGCGGCGCGCCUAACACAUGCAAGUCGAACGGAGCUGCGAGAAGCUUGCUUUUCUUAGCUUAGUGGCGAACGGGUGAGUAACGCGUGAGUAACCUGCCCUGGAGUGGGGGACAACAGUUGGAAACGACUGCUAAUACCGCAUAAGCCCACGAUCCGGCAUCGGCUUGAGGGAAAAGGAUUUAUUCUCUUCAGGAUGGACUCGCGUCCAAUUAGCUAGUUGGUGAGGUAACGGCCCACCAAGGCGACGAUUGGUAGCCGGACUGAGAGGUUGAACGGCCACAUUGGGACGGAGACACGGCCCGGACUCCUACGGGAGGCAGCAGUGGGGGAUAUUGCACAAUGGGGGGAACCCUGAUGCAGCGACGCCGCGUGGAGGAAGAAGGUUUUCGGAUUGUAAACUCCUGUCGUUAGGGACGAUAAUGACGGUACCUAACAAGAAAGCACCGGCUAACUACGUG